GUCCACGCAGUAAACGAUGACAGCUAUGUGUUGGGUUGUUUAAACUCAGUGCUGAAGCUAACGCUAUAAGCUGUCCGCCUGAGGAGUACGAUCGCAAGAUUAAAACUCAAAGGAAUUGACGGGGACCCGCACAAGCGGUGGAACAUGUGGUUUAAUUCGAAGGUACGCGAAGAACCUUACCGGCUCUUGACAUAUUGGUUGUAUCCCUAAGAAACUAGGGAGUCAUUUAGGUGGACCAAUACAGGUGCUGCAUGGCCGUCGU
RNAcentral lists this ribosomal RNA (262 nucleotides) under uncultured bacterium. Its description in RNAcentral is "partial 16S ribosomal RNA". It matches the Rfam family "Bacterial small subunit ribosomal RNA", at positions 793 to 1055 of the family's 1533-position model. The record is from RNAcentral.